Capra hircus (goat) is the source of this 274-nucleotide RNA transcript. It is a transcript of the gene named 40S ribosomal protein S28 pseudogene, with no coding region annotated. The transcript has a single exon. Lineage: Eukaryota; Metazoa; Chordata; Mammalia; Artiodactyla; Bovidae. The record is from RefSeq and is a predicted model, not a curated record.
CAUGGACAUGAGCCGUGUGCAGCCCAUCAAGCUUGCCAGGGUCACCAAGGUUUUGGGCAGGACCAGUUCUCAGGGACAGUGCACACAGGUGCACAUAGAAUUCAUGGACAACACAAGCUGCUCCAUCAUCCGAAACAUGAAAGGUGCCGUGCGGGAGGGUGACGUGCUCACCUUGUUGGAGUCAGAGCGAGAGGCUUGGAGGCUACGCUGAACUUGUGACUGGGUGCUGGAUGUCUGGGUUGAUGCCUUGGCCCACUAGGAUGAUCUGCUGUUA